AGGGUUUAUGUUAUUUCUUUCUUUUCAUGCUGUGCAGCUAUACUAAACCCUAAACUUAACAACAACUCUUUUCCAAUUUUUGGUAUCUUCAUACACUUCUUCCACUCAAUCCAUGGUAUAUCUUCCCUCACUCCUUUAAACAAGAACACAGUUGUUACAUAUAUCUUCUCCUCAGUUCUACUCCACCGUUACCGUUGCGAUGUGCCGUUGUCAUUCUCUUGAGUUUCGAUUUCAAGCAUUUGAUCGUGCACUUUGAUCUUUGAGAUAGACGGAAUGACAAAGGCAUUAUAAACUCACACACAAGUGGGAGGUACCGGGGUUCGAACCCCGGUCAUGGCAUCCAGCCUAAUAAUUUCGGCAUUUUACCGGUUGAGCUAGGUCUUCAUUGUAAGAUCGAUAUUUUAGUUUUGAAACUAAAUUAAUUUUUUUUUAUACAAAGUUAAUUAAUUAUUAGAAUA
Molecule: long non-coding RNA, 458 nt
Organism: Medicago truncatula (barrel medic)
Lineage: Eukaryota; Viridiplantae; Streptophyta; Magnoliopsida; Fabales; Fabaceae
Exons: 3
Source: RefSeq, a predicted model, not a curated record